GGCGAGCGGGCUACCUGCAGUCGAGCGGUAGCACAGAGAAGCUUGCUUCUUGGGUGACGAGCGGCGGACGGGUGAGUAAUGCAUAGGAAUCUGCCCGAUAGUGGGGGAUAACCUGGGGAAACCCAGGCUAAUACCGCAUACGUCCUACGGGAGAAAGGGGGCUUCGGCUCCCGCUAUUGGAUGAGCCUAUGUCGGAUUAGCUAGUUGGUGAGGUAAAGGCUCACCAAGGCGACGAUCCGUAGCUGGUCUGAGAGGAUGAUCAGCCACAUCGGGACUGAGACACGGCCCGAACUCCUACGGGAGGCAGCAGUGGGGAAUAUUGGACAAUGGGCGCAAGCCUGAUCCAGCCAUGCCGCGUGUGUGAAGAAGGCCUUCGGGUUGUAAAGCACUUUCAGCGAGGAAGAACGCCUAGCGGUUAAUACCCGCUAGGAAAGACAUCACUCGCAGAAGAAGCACCGGCUAACUCCGUGCCAGCAGCCGCGGUAAUACGGAGGGUGCAAGCGUUAAUCGGAAUUACUGGGCGUAAAGCGCGCGUAGGUGGCUUGAUAAGCCGGUUGUGAAAGCCCCGGGCUCAACCUGGGAACGGCAUCCGGAACUGUCAAGCUAGAGUGCAGGAGAGGAAGGUAGAAUUCCCGGUGUAGCGGUGAAAUGCGUAGAGAUCGGGAGGAAUACCAGUGGCGAAGGCGGCCUUCUGGACUGACACUGACACUGAGGUGCGAAAGCGUGGGUAGCAAACAGGAUUAGAUACCCUGGUAGUCCACGCCGUAAACGAUGUCGACCAGCCGUUGGGUGCCUAGCGCACUUUGUGGCGAAGUUAACGCGAUAAGUCGACCGCCUGGGGAGUAC
Molecule: ribosomal RNA, 846 nt
Filed under: Halomonas sp. PM1R1
Lineage: Bacteria; Pseudomonadati; Pseudomonadota; Gammaproteobacteria; Oceanospirillales; Halomonadaceae
Description: bacterial SSU rRNA
Rfam family: Bacterial small subunit ribosomal RNA
Source: RNAcentral